This 106-nucleotide small nucleolar RNA is filed under the name Setaria italica (foxtail millet). RNAcentral's name for it is "Plant small nucleolar RNA R71". It matches the Rfam family "Plant small nucleolar RNA R71". From Rfam's summary of the family: R71 is a member of the C/D box family of snoRNAs containing the C (UGAUGA) and D (CUGA) box motifs. Lineage: Eukaryota; Viridiplantae; Streptophyta; Magnoliopsida; Poales; Poaceae. The record is from Rfam by way of RNAcentral.
AUCUUGUGGUGAGGACAGGCCAGAAUGUACUCCUGGAGCCUUUCCCAUGCUUUAGGGAUUAACUUGAUGCUGCUUGUUAGAAGCUUGAGAUCUUUCCACGAAGGGU